UUCAACGUGUACCUUUAUCACCUUCUAGCCUGAUCUCAUCAGCUCUCAGAAGGUAAGUGAGGUUGUGUCUGGUCAGUACUGGAGUGGGAGACUUUCAAGGAAAGCCAGGUACUGUUGUUA
RNAcentral lists this ribosomal RNA (120 nucleotides) under Lepisosteus oculatus (spotted gar). The record is from RNAcentral. Lineage: Eukaryota; Metazoa; Chordata; Actinopteri; Semionotiformes; Lepisosteidae.